AUACGGAGGGUUCAAGCGUUAUCCGGAUUCAUUGGGUUUAAAGGGUCCGCAGGCGGGAAAAUAAGUCAGUGGUGAAAGCCUACAGCUCAACUGUAGAACUGCCAUUGAUACUGUUUUUCUUGAGUAUAGAUGAAGUGGGCGGAAUAUAUCAUGUAGCGGUGAAAUGCAUAGAUAUGAUAUAGAACACCGAUUGCGAAGGCAGCUCACUAAACUAUUACUGACGCUCAGGGACGAAAGCGUGGGGAGCGAACAGGAUUAGAAACCCUUGUAGUCC
This 274-nucleotide ribosomal RNA is filed under the name uncultured bacterium. RNAcentral's name for it is "partial 16S ribosomal RNA". It matches the Rfam family "Bacterial small subunit ribosomal RNA", at positions 523 to 796 of the family's 1533-position model. The record is from RNAcentral.